Molecule: ribosomal RNA, 468 nt
Filed under: uncultured bacterium
Lineage: Bacteria
Description: partial 16S ribosomal RNA
Rfam family: Bacterial small subunit ribosomal RNA
Source: RNAcentral
GACGAACGCUGGCGGCGUGCUUAACACAUGCAAGUCGAACGGAAAGGCCCUGCUUUUGUGGGGUGCUCGAGUGGCGAACGGGUGAGUAACACGUGAGUAACCUGCCCUUGACUUUGGGAUAACUUCAGGAAACUGGGGCUAAUACCGGAUAGGAGCUCCUGCUGCAUGGUGGGGGUUGGAAAGUUUCGGCGGUUGGGGAUGGACUCGCGGCUUAUCAGCUUGUUGGUGGGGUAGUGGCUUACCAAGGCUUUGACGGGUAGCCGGCCUGAGAGGGUGACCGGCCACAUUGGGACUGAGAUACGGACCAGACUCCUACGGGAGGCAGCAGUGGGGAAUAUUGCACAAUGGGCGGAAGCCUGAUGCAGCAACGCCGCGUGCGGGAUGACGGCCUUCGGGUUGUAAACCGCUUUCGCCUGUGACGAAGCGUGAGAGACGGUAAUGGGUAAAGAAGCACCGGCUAACUACGUG